GGGCGUAAGGAUGCGUAGGCUGGAAAUCAAGUCGAGAGUGAAAUCCAACGGCUCAACCGUUGAACUGCUCUCGAAACUGGUUACCUAGAAUAUGGGAGAGGUAGAUGGAAUUGGUGGUGUAGGGGUAAAAUCCGUAGAUAUCACCAGGAAUACCGAUUGCGAAGGCGAUCUACUGGAACAUUAUUGACGCUGAGGCAUGAAAGCGUGGGGAGCAAACAGGAUUAGAUACCCUGGUAGUCCACGCCCUAAACGAUGCACACUAGUUGUUGCGAUGCUAGUCAUUGCAGUAAUGCACUUAACAGAUUAAGUGUGCCGCCUGGGGAGUACGGUCGCAAGAUUAAAACUCAAAGGAAUAGACGGGGACCCGCACAAGCGGUGGAGCAUGUGGUUUAAUUCAAAGAUACACGAAGAACCUUACCUGGGCUUGAUAUCCUAAGAAUCCUGUAGAGAUAUGGGAGUGCUAGUUUACUAGAACUUAGAGACAGGUGCUGCACGGCUGUCGUCAGCUCGUGUCGUGAGAUGUUGGGUUAAGUCCCGCAACGAGCGCAACCCUCGUGAUUAGUUGCUAACAGUUCGGCUGAGCACUCUAAUCAGACUGCCUUCGCAAGGAGGAGGAAGGUGAGGACGACGUCAAGUCAUCAUGGCCCUUAUGCCCAGGGCUACACACGU
RNAcentral lists this ribosomal RNA (669 nucleotides) under uncultured bacterium. Its description in RNAcentral is "bacterial SSU rRNA". It matches the Rfam family "Bacterial small subunit ribosomal RNA", at positions 556 to 1223 of the family's 1533-position model. The record is from RNAcentral.